Vespula pensylvanica (western yellowjacket) is the source of this 458-nucleotide long non-coding RNA. RefSeq lists it as uncharacterized. The transcript is spliced from 2 exons. The record is from RefSeq and is a predicted model, not a curated record. NCBI's taxonomy places the organism in Eukaryota, Metazoa, Arthropoda, Insecta, Hymenoptera, Vespidae.
CUGAACGAAACGAAGCGCCGAGAGUCUGCGAAAAUCGUUUAAAUAGUCCGUCAACGUCGCUACCUGGUGGCCAGACAUCGAACGAGGAAAAGUCUGGCCGGAAGCCAGUGGUCCCGGACGUCGCAAAAGGGAGGUUAGGUCGGCCCGAAACGAUAAAAGAAGUCAUCUUUGUCGCCAUUUUUGUUCUUCGAUCUCGGUACCGGAAGUGUUCUGCUAGCGAAGCUCGAACGCAAACUUUAUUAAGUCUAUCCACGAAAAAUGACAGUAUUGUAAUUUCGACGAUUGCAAUGUAAACAUGUUACGUUUGUAUCGCGGACGUAGAUCAUUAUAAAUUGGAUGAAUGCAUCUAUAGUAGGAAAAUCAAGAGAAAGAUUAAAAAUAAUUGAUCUGUAUGAUGGACUUUAUAUUUCUCUUGUUUUAAUAAUAAAAUAGCGAACAAUAAAACGUACUAUUAUGUA